This 72-nucleotide transfer RNA is filed under the name Stegodyphus mimosarum. It matches the Rfam family "tRNA". From Rfam's summary of the family: Transfer RNA (tRNA) molecules are approximately 80 nucleotides in length. Their secondary structure includes four short double-helical elements and three loops (D, anti-codon, and T loops). Lineage: Eukaryota; Metazoa; Arthropoda; Arachnida; Araneae; Eresidae. The record is from Rfam by way of RNAcentral.
GCCUCGUGGUGUAGUGGUCAGCACGCUCGACGCGUAACCGAGAGGUCCGUGGUUCGAUUCCCGACGAAGGCA